Molecule: long non-coding RNA, 581 nt
Organism: Phlebotomus papatasi
Lineage: Eukaryota; Metazoa; Arthropoda; Insecta; Diptera; Psychodidae
Exons: 2
Source: RefSeq, a predicted model, not a curated record
UUCUUCUUCUUCUUAAAUUUUGUGUUAUCUUGCUGAAGGAAAGGUUAAGUUAUGUUUUUGGUGUGAACAACAGCACUGGGGUUUAAUCGGCUCCAAUGGGAUAACAUUUGCUGGAGAAUUUUGAUGGAAAAUGUGAGCACGAAGAUCUUAGAGGGUGCUAAUCGGACACUCAUUGUAUGCAAGUGAAGAGUGAUUAGAAGUUUUAAUGGAUUGAUAAACAACUGCGCAAGUUAAAAUAUCCCCAUCGCAUGUGUCGAGUCCAAUUCAGUCUCGGAAUCCAGCCAGGUUGCCUCCAAGAGGAUCACUACAAUCAGCAAUUAGCAGAAUGGUAGUAGAUUCCAAGGCAGAUUUUCUAUUCUGGAUCUAGAACUCACGAUUCACAGCCUGGAAUGCAGUCGACCAAUUUAGAAAUCCCAAAAAUGCAACUCAUCACAUCCUGGAUAUGCGGAUAAAAAGAUAUUUUUCUGGCGAUUCAGCUAUCACUAAGUCUCGUCUCGACGUGAAGAAGUAUUUUUCCACUUUCUUAGUAUCCGGAAAGAAGCUAAAUCCACCAGUACAUUUCAUUUUGACUUCAUAAUUGU